UCACUAAGUUACGCAAGUAUAGCCGGUUUGCAAGAGCCGAAGUGCGGUCGGAGAGGGUGGAGAGAGAAGUUAGAAAUGUCUCUUUAUAAGAUUUUUCUCCUCUGCCUGGAAGAAUCAAGGUGGAUUAACCUAACCCUGCAGUCCUAUACAUGCCUACUCAGCUCUGAAUCCUACUGAGUUCAAUAGAUCUUACUCCCAGCUUUUUCCUGCUUGGACACUGCUCCUAAUAUAAAGUGGGGAGAAACAGGCUGGUGACGCAACAGAAUGACUCAUAUUUCGAUCCAUUGGUUCCGCAAGGCACUUCGCCUCCAUGAUAACCCUGCCUUGCUAGCAGCUAUGAAGGAUAGCGCUGAGGUCUACCCUAUCUUUAUCUUUGACCCCUGGUUCCCGAAGAAUAUGCGGGUCAGCGUUAACCGCUGGAGAUUUCUGGUUGAAUCUCUGAGAGAUCUGGACGAGAGCCUCAAGAAGCUGAACUCAAGGCUGUUUGUAGUUCGUGGCAGUCCUGUAGAGGCAUUCCCAGAACUAUUUAAGAAAUGGAAGGUCACCCUGCUCACAUUUGAAGUCGACACAGAACCUUAUGCAAGGCGCCGUGAUGCUGAGGUGGUGAGGGUGGCAGCUGAACAUGGAGUCCAAGUUGUUCAGAAAGUGUCCCACACUUUGUACGACACUGAAAGAAUCAUUAUUGAGAAUAAUGGCAAGGCCCCUCUGACUUACACUCGGCUGCAGACGGUCUUGGCUUCUCUGGGUCCUCCAAAACGGCCUGUUCCAGCUCCUAGUUUGGAAAACUUGAAGGAGUGCAGCACAUCUGUCAAAGAGGACCAUGAUAAAGAGUAUGGCAUCCCUUCUCUUGAGGAACUGGGACAGGAUCCAAAGACAGCUGGCCCCCACCUUUAUCCAGGAGGAGAAUCUGAGGCCCUUGCUCGGCUGGACUUGUAUAUGAAGAGAACGUCAUGGGUAUGCAAUUUUAAGAAGCCUGAUACAUCCCCCAAUUCUUUGACUCCUAGCACCACGGUGCUCAGCCCCUACGUCAAAUUUGGGUGCCUGUCUGUACGGAUGUUCUGGUGGAAGCUGACUGAAAUCUACCAGGGGAGGAAACACUCUGACCCACCGGUAUCUCUGCAUGGGCAACUCCUGUGGCGGGAGUUUUUCUACACGGCAGGAGCUGGGAUCCCCAACUUUGACAAGAUGGAGGGCAAUCCAGUUUGUGUGCAGGUGGACUGGGAUGACAACAAGGAGCAUCUCAAAGCCUGGCGUGAGGGCCGGACAGGCUACCCCUUUAUAGAUGCUAUUAUGACGCAGCUGCGCACAGAGGGCUGGAUCCAUCAUUUGGCACGUCAUGCGGUGGCUUGCUUCCUGACGCGAGGAGAUCUCUGGAUAUCCUGGGAGGAAGGGCAAAAGGUCUUUGAAGAACUGCUGCUUGAUGCCGAUUGGUCCUUGAAUGCCGGUAACUGGCAGUGGCUUUCUGCAAGUGCCUUUUUCCACCAGUUCUUCCGUGUCUACUCACCAAUUGCCUUUGGCAAGAAGACAGACAAAAAUGGAGAGUAUAUAAAGAAGUACCUCCCCUUCCUCAAGAAGUUUCCAAGUGACUACAUUUAUGAGCCUUGGAAAGCACCACGGAGCGUGCAGGAGCGUGCAGGCUGCAUAAUUGGCAAAGACUAUCCCAAGCCCAUCGUUGCUCACGAAGAAGUGCGGAAAAAGAAUCUCGAACGGAUGAAGGCAGCGUAUGCACGGCGAUCACAGAGUGCAGCUGCCGAAGCGCAGGAUGAAAGAAGUAAAAAAGGACAUCGCGUCUGGGAAGGUACGAAGUAACUCAUAUGAAGAAAAAUAAAAAAGGACUCACUUCCCUUAUCGCUCCGUCCCCAUCAAUCCUUCUUUCAGAUGAAAUACAGCCUUUGACUCCUCUCCCUCAGCAGCAUAAAUUUCUCAGCAGUAAACAGCGCUUCUUCCCCUCCUUCUGAAAUGCCAACCAGAAGCGGCCGGAGGCUCCAUUGAAAGCUGAAGUGCGAACAAAGAAAAUGAAGAUCAAAAGCACCUAAAAGUGGCUCAUGUUGAAAACUGUGGCUUAAAACUAAAAAGACAACAAUACCCACAGUAUAAUAACUUUUCAAAAUGCUAGAAGUGGUGGUGAAUGGCUAAGCUAAAUACUACCCCUGUGUUAUACUCUGCCUUUAGAUGGCAAGCGCAACUAGGGAGAAAAUGAGGUCACACAACCCAACAGGGUUUCCAUGCUUAUCUUCUAUGGGGGGGGGACACACACCUUUGGCCAAAUUUGGCCUGGCAGGGUAGCGUCAAUAUGGCCUGCAGGGCCAUUCCCUGAAGCCCACCAAACACCUGAUCUUAAAGUGAGUUUCCAAUUGUUCAUUUGCUGGAGUACAGUAUGCUUCCGCUGACCAUCAGCUGACGGGUGCUGGGAGUGUGGCUUGUUCAAACAGCACAAAGCUACUAAACUGCUACUAAAGGCAAAUCUUGUUUCUUCUGUUUUACCAACAGUUUCAAUGCAAACCACUUCAUGCUACUGAACUACAGGAAGGUUUUGUUUUGUUUUUUUUAAAAAAAACAAAAACAUUUAAAUUUUAAUAUACCAUAUCCCUCUACAUCCUAAGCUACUAUUCUCCCAAAACAGGUAUAUCUUGUGGAUUUUCAGAUUAAGUGACAGAAAGGAACAGCUACUGAGAAGACACACUAGACUGCGAUUAAGUGACAAUUUUUUAAUUAUGAAGUCACCUUGGCAUUUGGGGGGCUGGAAAGGUAACUUGCAAUAUUCUAAAAUAAAAUUGCUCAAAACGAUAUCUUGUAUUCACAACUCUCUCCCUCGGUUACCUUGUGAAUAUCAAUUUUUCUAUCAUAGCAUGUUUCUGAGGAACUUUUCCUUCCCUCAUUAAACUCUUGUUGCCAUUAAGCUUUUUAUGCAAUCUUCCCUUCUCAACCAAAAUUAGCAAGUGCCGGUUAGGCUGAAGGUACAGUUCUUCAGAGCUGGAACUGUUUGAGAGAGACUGCUUCCCAUAGUACACCCCCACAUGUCUUUUGCCUCACUGUCAGCUCUUGCCGGGAAAAUGAAUCAAAAUUGGUUCUCCGUUUUAAACUGCCUUCCACUCUUUGAAAUAACUUUACAGACCUCCUUUCCUUUUCUACCUCCAACUGUAAAAAAAAAGGAAACUCAUUCUUUUAACCCCCAAUAAUGCUGCUUGUUUUUUUUAAAAUGGUAUAUAGAAACAGUAAAAAGUCAGCCUGAUUUCUGGGAUAAGGGUGAAAAAAGUUCAGUUCCUGGAAAGGAAGGGCACCUUCACCAUGCAAGGGAAUAAAAACAUCAAUUAUUGUACAAAGCUUAAUUGCUCAGGUCAUGACCAUUUAGUCAUUAUUUUAUUCAUUCAUUUACUGCAUUUAUAUCCCACUUUUCCCUCCAAAGAAUUCAAGGUGGUGUGCAUGGUUCUCCCCUUCCUCACUUAAUCCCCACAACAACCCUGUGAGGUAGGUUAGGCUGAAAGGCUGUAAAAAAAGGUGCUGUUGCAUCUUCUCCAUGCCCCCAAACAUACUGACAAUCUCUUGCUCAGUAGGCUAUUAAAAACCCCAUCACAAAUCUUUUAAUGGCAGGUAGAACAUAACAGCACAAACUCCAUAUUCUGAGGUGGUUUACCUCUAAAUACCAGAUGCCAGCAAAAAGCAGAAAGCUAUUCCUUCAACACACUGCUUUUAGGCUUCCUAGAGCCACCUGAACAGCUGCACAACAGCAGCAGACUUGAGGGACCCCAUUAAGAAGGACUCAUGCUCUUAGCCUGUAACUGGCUCAAUGGAGACACCCACUUGGCUCUUGCGGCCAACGUGGUAUGAAAAGUUGGAUCACCCUGAUUGAGAGCGUCUUGAUCUAUAGCUGUAGUCAUACCUUGGGUUACAGCUGCUUCAGGUUGUGUCUUUUCGGGUUGCGCUCUGUGCCAAACCCGGAAGUACUGGAACAGGUUACUUCCGGGUUUCGGCGCGCUCACAUGCGAAAAACUGCUAAAUUAUGCUUUGCGCAUACACAGAAGCGCCGAAUCGCAACUCAAGCAUGCACAGGUUGCGAUCACAGCGGGUUGCGAACGUGCCUCCCGCACGGAUCACGUUCACAACCCAAGCGUCUACUGUAUUGGACUUCCUGUUUAGGAAUUUUUUUAAUGUUUGAAGUUCUAUUCUGUUUUUAGUCCUCUGUUGGCAGCCGCCCAGAGUGGCUGGGGAAACCCAGCCAGAUGUGCGGGGUAUAAAUAAUAAAAUGUAUUAUUAUUAUUAUUAUUAUUAUUACUUGAAUUUUCAAUUGUUUCAUGGGUGAAAAUGGAGAAGCGACAAUACUACACAAGGAGUUUAUCCUGUCUGAGGCCCACUCAAAUGAUGUGGAGCUGUGCAAUGUAACACUUGUAGGAACAGUAUGGGAAUCUGAACAGUCUUCACGAACUGCUGCAUGGGCAUGUAGCCA
Zootoca vivipara (common lizard) is the source of this 4444-nucleotide non-coding RNA. The record is from RefSeq and is a predicted model, not a curated record. NCBI's taxonomy places the organism in Eukaryota, Metazoa, Chordata, Lepidosauria, Squamata, Lacertidae.